RNAcentral lists this ribosomal RNA (251 nucleotides) under uncultured bacterium. RNAcentral describes it as "partial 16S ribosomal RNA". It matches the Rfam family "Bacterial small subunit ribosomal RNA", at positions 100 to 354 of the family's 1533-position model. The record is from RNAcentral.
CGGGGUGAGUAACGCGUGGGUAAUCUGCCCUGCACAGGGGGACAACAGCUAGAAAUGGCUGCUAAUACCGCAUAAGCCUACAGCCUCGCAUGAGGGAGCAGGAAAAGAAAUUCGGUGCAGGAUGAGUCCGCGUCUGAUUAGCUAGUUGGAGGGGUAAAAGCCCACCAAGGCAACGAUCAGUAGCCGGCCUGAGAGGGCGACCGGCCACAUUGGGACUGAGACACGGCCCAAACUCCUACGGAAGGCAGCAG